RNAcentral lists this transfer RNA (71 nucleotides) under Geocapromys ingrahami (Bahamian hutia). RNAcentral describes it as "tRNA-Gln". It matches the Rfam family "tRNA". Rfam says of the family: Transfer RNA (tRNA) molecules are approximately 80 nucleotides in length. Their secondary structure includes four short double-helical elements and three loops (D, anti-codon, and T loops). The record is from RNAcentral. Lineage: Eukaryota; Metazoa; Chordata; Mammalia; Rodentia; Capromyidae.
UAGAAUAGAGUGUAAGGGUAGCACGGAGAAUUUUGAAUUCUUUAGAUUAGGUUCAAUUCCUAUUUUUCUAG